UACGUAGGGGGCAAGCGUUGUCCGGAUUUACUGGGCGUAAAGAGCGCGUAGGCGGAAGCGCCAGUCCGGCCUGAAAGCCCCCGGCUCAACCGGGGAGAGUGGCUGGAAACUGCGUUUCUUGAGGGCGAGAGGGGAGGGUGGAAUUCCUGGUGUAGCGGUGAAAUGCGUAGAGAUCAGGAGGAACACCCGGGGCGAAGGCGGCCCUCUGGCUCGACCCUGACGCUGAGGCGCGAAAGCGUGGGGAGCGAACGGG
This 253-nucleotide ribosomal RNA is filed under the name uncultured bacterium. RNAcentral's name for it is "partial 16S ribosomal RNA". It matches the Rfam family "Bacterial small subunit ribosomal RNA", at positions 524 to 776 of the family's 1533-position model. The record is from RNAcentral.